RNAcentral lists this ribosomal RNA (1031 nucleotides) under uncultured Eubacterium sp. RNAcentral's name for it is "bacterial SSU rRNA". It matches the Rfam family "Bacterial small subunit ribosomal RNA". The record is from RNAcentral. Lineage: Bacteria; Bacillati; Bacillota; Clostridia; Eubacteriales; Eubacteriaceae.
CUAACACAUGCAAGUCGAGGGGUAGCAGGAUGUAGCAAUACAUUGCUGACGACCGGCGCACGGGUGAGUAACACGUAUGCAACCUACCUUCUACAGGGGGAAUAGCCCGGAGAAAUUCGGAUUAAUACCCCAUAACGCAGGGAUACCGCAUGGUAAUAUUUGCUAAAGAUUAAUCGGUAGAAGAUGGGCAUGCGUUCCAUUAGCCAGUUGGUGAGGUAACGGCUCACCAAAGCUACGAUGGAUAGGGGAACUGAGAGGUUUAUCCCCCACACUGGAACUGAGACACGGUCCAGACUCCUACGGGAGGCAGCAGUGAGGAAUAUUGGUCAAUGGACGAGAGUCUGAACCAGCCAAGUCGCGUGAAGGAUGACGGCCCUACGGGUUGUAAACUUCUUUUGUAUGGAAGUAAAAAGAUGGACGUGUCCAUUAUUGCAAGUACCAUACGAAUAAGCAUCGGCUAACUCCGUGCCAGCAGCCGCGGUAAUACGGAGGAUGCGAGCGUUAUCCGGAUUUAUUGGGUUUAAAUUCGAUGAUACGCGAGGAACCUUACCCGGGCUUGAAAUGCAUCUGACCGCUUAAGAAAUUAGGCUUCUAGCAAUAGCAGAUGUGUAGGUGCUGCAUGGUUGUCGUCAGCUCGUGCCGUGAGGUGUCGGCUUAAGUGCCAUAACGAGCGCAACCCACAUUGUUAGUUACUAACAGGUCAAGCUGAGGACUCUGACAAGACUGCCAGCGUAAGCUGUGAGGAAGGUGUGGAUGACGUCAAAUCAGCACGGCCCUUACGUCCGGGGCGACACACGUGUUACAAUGGAUGGUACAGAGGGUCGCUACCUAGUGAUAGGAUGCCAAUCUCGAAAGCCAUUCCCAGUUCGGAUUGGAGUCUGCAACUCGACUCCAUGAAGCUGGAUUCGCUAGUAAUCGCGCAUCAGCCAUGGCGCGGUGAAUACGUUCCCGGGCCUUGUACACACCGCCCGUCAAGCCAUGGAAGCUGGGGGUACCUGAAGUACGCAACCGNCAAGGAGCGUCCUAGGGUA